CCCAGUCCUCCAGUCCUCCAGUCCUCCCAGUCCUCCAAUCUUCCGGUCCUCCGGUCCUCCCAGUCCUCCAGUCCUCCAGUCCUCCCAGUCCUCCAGUCCUCCCAGUCCUCCGGUCUUCCCAGUCCUCCAGUCCUCCGGUCCUCCCAGUCCUCCGGUCCUCCAGUCCUCCCAGUCCUCCGGUCUUCCCAGUCCUCCGGUCCUCCGGUCCUCCGGUCCUCCCAGUCCUCCGGUCCUCCAGUCCUCCCAGUCCUCCAGUCCUCCAGUCCUCCCAGUCCUCCAAUCUUCCGGUCCUCCGGUCCUCCCAGUCCUCCAGUCCUCCAGUCCUCCCAGUCCUCCAGUCCUCCCAGUCCUCCGGUCUUCCCAGUCCUCCAGUCCUCCGGUCCUCCCAGUCCUCCGGUCCUCCAGUCCUCCCAGUCCUCCGGUCUUCCCAGUCCUCCGGUCCUCCGGUCCUCCGGUCCUCCCAGUCCUCCAGUCCUCCCAUCCUCCAGUCCUCCCAGUCCUCCGGUCUUCCCAGUCCUCCGGUCCUCCCAGUCCUCCGGUCCUCCAGUCCUCCAGUCCUCCC
Molecule: long non-coding RNA, 562 nt
Filed under: Gallus gallus (chicken)
Lineage: Eukaryota; Metazoa; Chordata; Aves; Galliformes; Phasianidae
Description: lncRNA (ENSGALG00010004090.1)
Source: RNAcentral